Molecule: non-coding RNA, 654 nt
Organism: Lupinus albus (white lupine)
Lineage: Eukaryota; Viridiplantae; Streptophyta; Magnoliopsida; Fabales; Fabaceae
Source: the annotation of a GenBank genome assembly
AAAGCAGUGAUUGUGUGUAUCGGUGUUGUGCUAUGAUUAAUGCAUUCUUCCGAAAGAAUUCCCUGCAAAAUCAUUCUUGAGAAAAUGGGCAGUUGUUUUUCAUUUUUUUCCUAUUGAAAUUCACAACAAUCAUUUUCCCCACAUUUUUUUAUAUAAUUCAUUUUUUUUAUGUAGACAGUGAUGAUUGCUUCAUAUAUUCUGACACCUCUUGUAUGAGAUGAAUUUUGGUUCAUCUUUGAGCACAUAAAGCAACUCUCUGAGUCUUAUACAACAAUUAUUAUUCCAAUUUUAUGUAUUCUGUGUUUAUAUUCAAUUAUUGUUAUCAGCCUAAUAUUGCAAUUAUUCUUUCUGCUGUUUUAUUUGAAUUUGGUUUUGUUGGUUUUGAAUAUAGAUUACAAUGUUGAAUGAUGAUAAAAUCAUUCGGAUUCCCAAUGAUAUUAUAUAUAUGAUCUUACAAUUAAGUCUGACAACAUUGUAUUCAUAUUGUGUUAUGUUUUUCACAUUCUAGUAGUUUAUAUUUUCACUAUUUUUCCUUUUUUUAUUUCCAAUUACAUAUGGGUGUUGAUGCUAGGCCUGUGAUGCUGGAAAAUAUUUGCUACUCUUGAUGGGAAUCACCCAUUUGAUGAUUUUUUUUCCACCAAGAUCUCUGAGGCU